AUUCAGUGCAGCUUGGGGCGAUUAACUGAUGGAGAAGAAGCAGUUUAAAAACACGGAGGUGAAGAAGUUCGCUGGUUUGUGCUGAACUCUGAUGUGUUGCGGCUUCGCUCCGGCGAACAGAACAUUUUUUUAACUUUCACACAAGGACCCUGAACAGGAUUUGGGCUGCUGGUGGACACGUGAUGGAGUUUUUGCAGCAUGGUGAUCAACUUUGGGAGUUACAUGUAAAAACACCUCGGCACGCAAAUGAGGGAGGAAGGAAAAAAAAUAAUAUCAGAAAAACGAGGGGGCCAAGCCGGAUGAUCCGCCGAACGUUAAGAGGCGAGCUUUGAAGAAAAAUUCCAUCAAAGGACAAAACAAUAAGUGAAGCGUCGUGUUGUGUUGUGUAAGUGUGUGUGUGUGUGUGUGUGUGUGUGUGUGUAAAGAAAAAAGCUGGUGUUAAAUACCUCUUGUUGUUCAGAAAAUACUUAAAAUCUCAAUUGGCUGCGUUAACUGGCAUCUGGAGAACAAUGAGUAGAAUCUGUUGGAGGUUUAUAAAAGGCUUUUAG
Amphiprion ocellaris (clown anemonefish) is the source of this 548-nucleotide long non-coding RNA. NCBI's taxonomy places the organism in Eukaryota, Metazoa, Chordata, Actinopteri, Pomacentridae. The record is from Ensembl.